GACGAACGCUGGCGGCGUGCCUAAUACAUGCAAGUUGAGCGCUCAAGGGUGGUGCUUGUACCAACUGGAUGAGCAGCGAACGGGUGAGUAACGCGUGGGUAAUCUGCCUUUGAGCGGGGGACAACUUCUGGAAACGAAUGCUAAUACCGCAUAAAAACUUUAACCACAAGUUUUAAGAUUGAAAGAUGCACUUGCAUCACUCAAAGAUGAUCCCGCCUUUGAUUAGCUAGUUGGUGAGGUAAACGCUCACCCAAGCGAUGGUACAUUACCGACCUGAGAAGGGUAACGGCCAAAUCGGGACUGGGAAACGGCCCCAAACUCCACGGGGAGGAGCAGGAGGGAAAUUUCGGCAAUUGACGAAAGGCCGAACGGACAACGCCGGGUGAGUGAAGGAGGGUUUCGGAUCGUAAAACUCUGUUGGUAGGGAAGAAAGAUGGGGGGAGGGGAAAGCUCACCAAGUGACGGUAACUACCCAGAAAGAGACGGCUAACUACGUG
Molecule: ribosomal RNA, 497 nt
Filed under: uncultured bacterium
Lineage: Bacteria
Description: partial 16S ribosomal RNA
Rfam family: Bacterial small subunit ribosomal RNA
Source: RNAcentral